AGAGAUUUAAGUUAAUUAAAACUAAUAGCCUUCAAAGCUAUAAUUGACCACAUAAUCAAUCUCUA
Molecule: transfer RNA, 65 nt
Filed under: Pronodularia japanensis
Lineage: Eukaryota; Metazoa; Mollusca; Bivalvia; Unionida; Unionidae
Description: tRNA-Trp
Source: RNAcentral